AGAAUCAACGCUGGCGGCGUGCCUAACACAUGCAAGUCGAACGAGAAAGUGGAGCAAUCCAUGAGUAAAGUGGCGCACGGGUGAGUAACACGUGACUAACCUACCCUUGAGUGGGGGAUAACCUAGAGAAAUCUGGGCUAAUACCGCAUAAUACCUUCGGGUCAAAGGAGCAAUUCGCUUAAGGAGGGGGUCGCGGCCGAUUAGCUAGUUGGCGGGGUAAUGGCCCACCAAGGCAGUGAUCGGUA
Molecule: ribosomal RNA, 245 nt
Filed under: uncultured bacterium
Lineage: Bacteria
Description: partial small subunit ribosomal RNA
Rfam family: Bacterial small subunit ribosomal RNA
Source: RNAcentral